CCUACGGGAGGCAGCAGUGGGGAAUAUUGCACAAUGGGCGAAAGCCUGAUGCAGCAACGCCGCGUGAGCGGUGAAGGCCUUCGGGUCGUAAAGCUCUGUCCUCAAGGAAGAUAAUGACGGUACUUGAGGAGGAAGCCCCGGCUAACUACGUGCCAGCAGCCGCGGUAAUACGUAGGGGGCUAGCGUUAUCCGGAAUUACUGGGCGUAAGGGGUGCGUAGGUGGUUUCUUAAGUCAGAGGUGAAAGGCUACGGCUCAACCGUAGUAAGCCUUUGAAACUGGGGAACUUGAGUGCAGGAGAGGAGAGUGGAAUUCCUAGUGUAGCGGUGAAAUGCGUAGAUAUUAGGAGGAACACCAGUGGCGAAGGCGGCCUGCUGGACGAUGACUGACGUUGAGGCUCGAAAGCGUGGGGAGCAAACAGGAUUAGAUACCCGAGUAGUC
RNAcentral lists this ribosomal RNA (439 nucleotides) under uncultured bacterium. RNAcentral's name for it is "partial 16S ribosomal RNA". It matches the Rfam family "Bacterial small subunit ribosomal RNA", at positions 338 to 795 of the family's 1533-position model. The record is from RNAcentral.